UGUGGGGCGGGCAGGUCGACGAUUCGCGGCCUAUCAGCUUGUUGGUGGGGUGAAGGCCUACCAAGGCGAUUACGGGUAGCCGGCCUGAGAGGGCGACCGGCCACACUGGGACUGAGACACGGCCCAGACUCCUACGGGAGGCAGCAGUGGGGAAUAUUGCGCAAUGGGCGGAAGCCUGACGCAGCGACGCCGCGUGGGGGAUGACGGCCUUCGGGUUGUAAACCUCUUUUACCACCGACGCAGGCCCGCGCUUCUGUGCGGGUUGACGGUAGGUGGGGAAUAAGGACCGGCCAACUACGUGCCAGCAGCCGCGGUAAUACGUAGGGUCCGAGCGUUGUCCGGAAUUAUUGGGCGUAAAGAGCUCGUAGGUGGUGUGUCGCGUCUGCUGUGUAAGUCCGGGGCUUAACUCCGGUUUUGCAGUGGAUACGGACAUGCUAGAGGUAGGCAGGGGAGACUGGAAUUCCUGGUGUAGCGGUGAAAUGCGCAGAUAUCAGGAGGAACACCGGUGGCGAAGGCGGGUCUCUGGGCCUUACCUGACGCUGAGGAGCGAAAGCGUGGGGAGCGAACAGGAUUAGAUACCCUGGUAGUCCACGCUGUAAACGUUGGGCGCUAGGUGUGGGGACCUUCCACGGUUUCCGUGCCGUAGCUAACGCAUUAAGCGCCCCGCCUGGGGAGUACGGAAU
This 683-nucleotide ribosomal RNA is filed under the name uncultured bacterium. RNAcentral's name for it is "bacterial SSU rRNA". It matches the Rfam family "Bacterial small subunit ribosomal RNA", at positions 207 to 888 of the family's 1533-position model. The record is from RNAcentral.